UUCCAAAGCAUGACCCACUGAAAUAUUGGAGACUGAAAAGCAAUGUGAACAGUCAUUUGUCAAUGCAAUACGUGAAUCAAUCAGGGUAACUAUCUUGAUCAUUUUGACAAAACAAAUGGUGUUUCCAAAGAAAGUGCAUGUGCAGACAACAUGAAACUUUAGACUGCAGAAAGUUUCACAAGCCGUUAUCAAACUCAUGUCAUAGAAGUGGUAAAAGACAUGUGUGACAACUGAAUGGUAUCCUUUUGUAAAGUUUUUGGCCAGGGGUG
Paramuricea clavata is the source of this 269-nucleotide non-coding RNA. Lineage: Eukaryota; Metazoa; Cnidaria; Anthozoa; Malacalcyonacea; Plexauridae. The record is from the annotation of a GenBank genome assembly.